GACGAACGCUGGCGGCGUGCUUAACACAUGCAAGUCGAACGGAAAGGCCCUGCUUUUGUGGGGUGCUCGAGUGGCGAACGGGUGAGUAACACGUGAGUAACCUGCCCUUGACUUUGGGAUAACUUCAGGAAACUGGGGCUAAUACCGGAUAGGAGCUCCUGCUGCAUGGUGGGGGUUGGAAAGUUUCGGCGGUUGGGGAUGGACUCGCGGCUUAUCAGCCUGUUGGUGGGGUAGUGGCUUACCAAGGCUUUGACGGGUAGCCGGCCUGAGAGGGUGACCGGCCCCAUUGGGACUGAGAUACGGCCCAGACUCCUACGGGGGGCAGCAGUGGGGAAUAUUGCACAAUGGGCGGAAGCCUGAUGCAGCAACGCCGCGUGCGGGAUGACGGCCUUCGGGUUGUAAACCGCUUUCGCCUGUGACGAAGCGUGAGUGACGGUAAUGGGUAAAGAAGCACCGGCUAACUACGUG
Molecule: ribosomal RNA, 468 nt
Filed under: uncultured bacterium
Lineage: Bacteria
Description: partial 16S ribosomal RNA
Rfam family: Bacterial small subunit ribosomal RNA
Source: RNAcentral